This 226-nucleotide ribosomal RNA is filed under the name uncultured bacterium. RNAcentral's name for it is "partial 16S ribosomal RNA". It matches the Rfam family "Bacterial small subunit ribosomal RNA", at positions 1275 to 1500 of the family's 1533-position model. The record is from RNAcentral.
CAAAACAACAGUCUCAGUUCAGAUUGUAGGCUGAAACUCGCCUGUAUGAAGUCGGAAUUGCUAGUAAUCGCGGAUCAGCAUGCCGCGGUGAAUACGUUCCCGGGCCUUGUACACACCGCCCGUCACACCAUGAGAGUCGAUAACACCCGAAGCCUGUAGUCUAACAGCAAUGAGGACGCAGUCGAAGGUGGGAUUGAUAAUUAGGGUGAAGUCGUAACAAGGUAGC